RNAcentral lists this ribosomal RNA (468 nucleotides) under uncultured bacterium. Its description in RNAcentral is "partial 16S ribosomal RNA". It matches the Rfam family "Bacterial small subunit ribosomal RNA", at positions 28 to 507 of the family's 1533-position model. The record is from RNAcentral.
GACGAACGCUGGCGGCGUGCUUAACACAUGCCAGUCGAACGGAAAGGCCCUGCUUUUGUGGGGUGCUCGAGUGGCGAACGGGUGAGUAACACGUGAGUAACCUGCCCUUGACUUUGGGAUAACUUCAGGAAACUGGGGCUAAUACCGGAUAGGAGCUCCUGCUGCAUGGUGGGGGUUGGAAAGUUUCGGCGGUUGGGGAUGGACUCGCGGCUUAUCAGCUUGUUGGUGGGGUAGUGGCUUACCAAGGCUUUGACGGGUAGCCGGCCUGAGAGGGUGACCGGCCACAGUGGGACUGGGAUACGGCCCAGACUCCUACGGGAGGCAGCAGUGGGGAAUAUUGCACAAUGGGCGGAAGCCUGAUGCAGCAACGCCGCGUGCGGGAUGACGGCCUUCGGGUUGUAAACCGCUUUCGCCUGUGACGAAGCGUGAGUGACGGUAAUGGGUAAAGAAGCACCGGCUAACUACGUG